AGCAGCCGCGGUAAUUCCAGCUCCAAUAGCGUAUAUUAAAGUUGUUGCAGUUAAAAAGCUCGUAGUUGAAUUUCGGGAUCAAUGUGUCAGUCGUGCCAUUGGUACGUACUGGUAUCAUUGAUUUCUCCUUUCUGACGAACCAUGAUGUCAUUAAUUUGGUGUUAUGGGGAGUUAGGACUGUUACUUUGAAAAAAUUAGAGUGUUUAAAGCAGGCAUUAGCUUGAAUACAUUAGCAUGGAAUAAUGAAAUAGGACGUUUGACCCUAUUUUGUUGGUUUCUAGGAUCGACGUAAUGAUUAAUAGGGAUAGUUGGGGGCAUUAGUAUUCAAUUGUCAGAGGUGAAAUUCUUGGAUUUAUUGAAGACUAACUACUGCGAAAGCAUUUGCCAAGGAUGUUUUCAUUAAUCAAGAACGAAAGUUAGGGGAUCGAAGACGAUCAGAUACCGUCGUAGUCUUAACCAUAAACUAUGCCGACUAGGGAUCGGAUGAUGUUAAUUUUUUAAUGACUCA
This 508-nucleotide ribosomal RNA is filed under the name uncultured Glomeromycotina. RNAcentral's name for it is "SSU rRNA". It matches the Rfam family "Eukaryotic small subunit ribosomal RNA", at positions 569 to 1078 of the family's 1831-position model. The record is from RNAcentral. Lineage: Eukaryota; Fungi; Glomeromycota.